RNAcentral lists this ribosomal RNA (490 nucleotides) under uncultured bacterium. RNAcentral describes it as "partial 16S ribosomal RNA". It matches the Rfam family "Bacterial small subunit ribosomal RNA", at positions 29 to 507 of the family's 1533-position model. The record is from RNAcentral.
AAUGAACGCUGGCGGCAGGCCUAACACAUGCAAGUCGAACGGUAACAUGAAGCAGCUUGCUGCAUCGCUGAGUAGUGGCUGACGGGUGAGUAAUGUCUUGGAAGCUGCCUGAUGGAGGGGGAUAACUACUGGAAACGUUAGCUAGUACCGCAUAAUGUCGCCAGUCCAAAGAGGGGGACCUUCGGUCCUCUGGCCAUCGGAUAUGCCCAGAUGGGAUUGGCUUGUUGGUGGGGUAACGGCUGAACAAGGCGACGAUCCCUAGCUGGUCUGAGAGGAUGACCAGAUACCCGGGAACUGAGACACGGUCCAGACUCCUACGGGAGGAAGCAGUGGGGAAUAUUGCACAAGGGGCGCAAGGCUAAUGCAGCAAUGUCGCGUGUAUGCAGAAGGAGUUAGGGUUGGAAAGUAAUUUAAGCGGGGGGGAAGGAAGUAAAGUUAAUACCGUUGCUCAUUGACGUUACCCGCAGAAGAAGCACCGGCUAACUCCGUG